RNAcentral lists this ribosomal RNA (351 nucleotides) under uncultured bacterium. RNAcentral's name for it is "partial 16S ribosomal RNA". It matches the Rfam family "Bacterial small subunit ribosomal RNA", at positions 338 to 681 of the family's 1533-position model. The record is from RNAcentral.
CCUACGGGCGGCAGCAGGAGGGAAUCUUCCACAAUGGACGAAAGUCGGAUGGAGCAACGCCGCGUGAGUGAAGAAGGGGUUCGGCUCGUAAAGCUCUGGUGGUAGGGAAGAAAGAUAGAGGGAGUAACUGGCCUUGAGUUGACGGUAAUGACGGAGAAAGGCACGGCUAACUACGUGCCAGCAGCCGCGGUAAUACGUAGGUGGCAAGCGUUGUCCGGAUUUAUUGGGCGUAAAGCGAGUGCAGGCGGUUCAAUAAGUCUGAUGUGAAAGCCUUCGGCUCAACCGGAGAAUUGCAUCCGAAACUGUUGACCUUGAGUGCAGCAGAGGCGAGUGGAACUCCCUGUGUAGCGG